GUCACUUCUUGGCCUUUUGGCUAAGAUCAAGUAUAGUAUCUGUUCUUAUCAGAGAGGGAAGGGAGAGUUGAUUUUUGAGCCAUGUUUGAUUCUAAUAAUAAAUAAUACUAUGUACAAAUAUUU
This 123-nucleotide small nuclear RNA is filed under the name Canis lupus familiaris (dog). RNAcentral describes it as "U2 spliceosomal RNA (multiple genes)". It matches the Rfam family "U2 spliceosomal RNA". Rfam says of the family: U2 is a small nuclear RNA (snRNA) component of the spliceosome (involved in pre-mRNA splicing). The record is from RNAcentral. Lineage: Eukaryota; Metazoa; Chordata; Mammalia; Carnivora; Canidae.